CCUACAGUCUAGCUGUCCCGACGCCUUGUGUGCUCACUUUCGUCUUGCCAAGGUUAUGUCUUCCUCCUUCACCCUUCUUUACAUUUGCUCAUUUCAUAUGCAGUAUUUUACUGAAUUGUGUGUGUUCCGUGUGCUGUGUCCUUUCUUCCUUACUAUUACUUAUUGUUGCUUGUUAUAUUUAUACCUUGUGUCCCGCUUAUCGUUGUCUCAUUGCUUUGUAUACCCCGGAUGGGUGCUGUCAUAUAUUUUUUCAUACCUAUUCUGGAAACCAUGGCAAAAAAUAUAUACUUAGACACAUAUCACUACUUUGUAUACCAAGGAUAAGAGCAGGAUAUGUGUUGUCAUAUCAUUGCUUUGUAUACUCAGGAUGUGUGCACUAGCUCUACCAAACUCACUUCCCUGCUUUCCUUUUUGUUGAAAGAACUGUGAGCUUAGUCCUGAACCGUAGUCCUGAACCUGCACUAAUUAUACUAAUCUUUAUUUUCACUUCAUUAUAUCACUCUGCUUUGAAUGGCUACAGUUUCAAGCUACCUCUGUAUUGAUGCGUAUAUGUUGUCGAGAGGAUCCAAUUUAAGUACUAUAAUGUAGCCAAUUAUUUCUUGGAUGUGGUAAACUUACACCUUCAUUCUAUUUUUAUUUUGCUCUUUUGUUGAGUACAUUUAGAUAUAAUUAGAAUCAUAGUAGCUUUUUGCUAACAUCUAAGGCCCUUUUUAAAUAGUUUGAUUUGGUGAGAAUGGAAUGUAUUUUGCCCGAGAGAGUACUCUUCCUUCAAGCAACAGAAAACAUAGAUGAUUUUGGUUUCAUCCUUUAAUUUUUUUUUCUUUCUGCACCUUUUGCAGACAUUAUAUAGUUCAACCGAGCCAUUGUGCUUAAUCAUCUUAUGUUGGUUGCUAUUGGUAUGUGGGAUAUGCAUCAAUGGAAUGAGCAGAGGANNNNNNNNNNCUUUUUGCACCUUUUGCUGACAUUAUAUAGUUCAACCGAGCCAUUGUGCUUAAUCAUCUUAUGCUGGUUGCUAUUGGUAUGUGGGAUAUGCAUCAAUGGAAUGAGCAGAGGAAUCCCCGAUCCUUCUACGACAUGUUCGAGAAGGGUCAGCUCAGCGUCAUUCUCGAGGAGCAAUUGGGUGCAGCCUUGCAAGGGCGCAUGAGGCUGGGCCUCCU
This 1157-nucleotide long non-coding RNA is filed under the name Hordeum vulgare. RNAcentral's name for it is "long non-coding RNA (HVUL_LNC017844)". Lineage: Eukaryota; Viridiplantae; Streptophyta; Magnoliopsida; Poales; Poaceae. The record is from RNAcentral.